UACGAAGGGUGCGAGCGUUGUUCGGAAUUAUUGGGCGUAAAGCGCGCGUAGGCGGCUCUUUAAGUCUUUCGGUGAAAUGCCGGGGCUCAACCCCGUGCCUGCCGGAGAUACUGGGGAGCUGGAGACAGGUAGAGGCGAGUGGAAUUCCGGGUGUAGCGGUGGAAUGCGUAGAGAUCCGGAAGAACACCAGAGGCGAAGGCGGCUCGCUGGACCUGGUCUGACGCUGAGGUGCGAAAGCGUGGGGAGCGAACAGG
This 254-nucleotide unclassified non-coding RNA is filed under the name uncultured Gemmatimonadota bacterium. RNAcentral describes it as "uncultured Gemmatimonadetes bacterium contains 16S-23S intergenic spacer region". It matches the Rfam family "Bacterial small subunit ribosomal RNA", at positions 524 to 776 of the family's 1533-position model. Lineage: Bacteria; Pseudomonadati; Gemmatimonadota. The record is from RNAcentral.